This 457-nucleotide ribosomal RNA is filed under the name uncultured bacterium. RNAcentral describes it as "partial 16S ribosomal RNA". It matches the Rfam family "Bacterial small subunit ribosomal RNA", at positions 338 to 792 of the family's 1533-position model. The record is from RNAcentral.
CCUACGGGUGGCAGCAGUGAGGAAUAUUGGUCAAUGGCCGUAAGGCUGAACCAGCCAAGUCGCGUGAAGGAAGACGGAUCUAUGGUUUGUAAACUUCUUUUAUAGGGGAAUAAAGGUAUCCACGUGUGGAUAUUUGCAUGUACCCUAUGAAUAAGCAUCGGAUAACUCCGUGCCAGCAGCCGCGGUAAUACGGAGGAUGCGAGUGUUAGGCGGAUUUGUUGGGAUUAAAGGGGGAGUAGGUUGUUUUUUAAGUCAGCGGUGAAAGGUUGGGGCACAACCAUAAAGUUGUCGAUGAAACUGGAAGACAGGAGAGUAUUGGAGGUAGGCAGAAGGCGUGGAGUAGCGGAGAAAUGCAUAGAUAUCACGAAGAACGCCGAUUGCGAAAGUAGCUUACUAAGCCAUAACUGACACUGAAGCACGAAAGCGUGGGGAUCAAACAGGAUUAGAUACCCCUGUA